Molecule: ribosomal RNA, 467 nt
Filed under: uncultured bacterium
Lineage: Bacteria
Description: partial 16S ribosomal RNA
Rfam family: Bacterial small subunit ribosomal RNA
Source: RNAcentral
ACGAACGCUGGCGGCGUGCUUAACCCAUGCAAGUCGAACGGAAAGGCCCUGCUUUUGUGGGGUGCUCGAGUGGCGAACGGGUGAGUAACACGUGAGUAACCUGCCCUUGACUUUGGGAUAACUUCAGGAAACUGGGGCUAAUACCGGAUAGGAGCUCCUGCUGCAUGGUGGGGGUUGGAAAGUUUCGGCGGUUGGGGAUGGACUCGCGGCUUAUCAGCAUGUUGGUGGGGUAGUGGCUUACCAAGGCUUUGACGGGUAGCCGGCCUGAGAGGGUGACCGGCCACAUUGGGACUGAGAUACGGCCCAGACUCCUACGGGAGGCAGCAGUGGGGAAUAUUGCACAAUGGGCGGAAGCCUGAUGCAGCAACGCCGCGUGCGGGAUGACGGCCUUCGGGUUGUAAACCGCUUUCGCCUGUGACGAAGCGUGAGUGACGGUAAUGGGUAAAGAAGCACCGGCUAACUACGUG